CAAAGUAGAAGAUGGAAUGGAGUUUCUUGACCCCUUUUGAGUCGCAUUCUUUUGAUUCGUAAUGUCACCAAGAGGCGCUCGUUUCUUGGCCAAAUGAGGCGCAACAGCCGUGGCCUUCCCUACAUUAUCCGUUGAUGAAGAAGACGCGUGUCUUUUUGCAAGAGAUGACGACGUCGAAGACGAGAACGACGAACGGCGUGUCUGCGUCGACAUUUUCAAUAAAAAAGUGAAAACCCCUCUCGGUCUUCAAUGUUAGUUAAAAGAAUGAGAAAUUAAAGAAAGAGAGAAGUUUAAAAGGAAACAAAACAAUCUUGGAUUUUGGAGAGAAAGCAAAACGGGCUCUCUGCUCUGGUUCUCU
RNAcentral lists this long non-coding RNA (358 nucleotides) under Populus trichocarpa (black cottonwood). RNAcentral's name for it is "long non-coding RNA (PTRI_LNC004650)". The record is from RNAcentral. Lineage: Eukaryota; Viridiplantae; Streptophyta; Magnoliopsida; Malpighiales; Salicaceae.